This 253-nucleotide ribosomal RNA is filed under the name uncultured Lactobacillus sp. Its description in RNAcentral is "partial 16S ribosomal RNA". It matches the Rfam family "Bacterial small subunit ribosomal RNA", at positions 524 to 776 of the family's 1533-position model. Lineage: Bacteria; Bacillati; Bacillota; Bacilli; Lactobacillales; Lactobacillaceae. The record is from RNAcentral.
UACGGAGGAUGCGAGCGUUAUCCGGAUUUAUUGGGCGUAAAGGGAACGCAGGCGGUCUUUUAAGUCUGAUGUGAAAGCCUUCGGCUUAACCGGAGUAGUGCAUUGGAAACUGGGAGACUUGAGUGCAGAAGAGGAGAGUGGAACUCCAUGUGUAGCGGUGAAAUGCGCAGAUAUUGGGAAGAACACCGGCGGCGAAGGCGGCCUUCUGGGCCACGACUGACGCUGAGGCGCGAAAGCUAGGGGAGCGAACAGG